This is a long non-coding RNA of Schistocerca gregaria, 813 nucleotides long. RefSeq lists it as uncharacterized. NCBI's taxonomy places the organism in Eukaryota, Metazoa, Arthropoda, Insecta, Orthoptera, Acrididae. The transcript is spliced from 3 exons. The record is from RefSeq and is a predicted model, not a curated record.
AGUAUUAAAAUUUGUGGAAGUUAUAAAGAGUCAAAUUGUGGAGAGGUUGUUAGCUAUUGUGAAGUGAAAUACAGUGAAGUGUAGUAAAUAAAGAGGCACUUGAACGACCCUUGGUUAUUGAUAUGAUUGUAAAGAAGGUUUAUAUUGUGUGUGGAAGUUUUGUUUGUUGUGGGUUAGCGUUAAAGAAUUUAUCCUUUGAGAUGUGUUAUGGAGGUAGAAAGUGUAGGAAGUACAGUCCCUUAAUAUUUAGAAUACGAGAGGAAAUGAUAUAGUUGAGACAUGUAACGUGUGAGAGAGUGUGUACGAAGUAGCUGGUAUGUGCAUGAUGUGUAGGUUUAUGGAAUUGGAGUAUUGUGGUAAUUAGUAAUGGUGAAGGUAAUGAAGUAGUGAUGUUCUGGUUUUCGAAAGAAUGGAGUAAGUGAUGGUGUAUGGUUUGAAGUAGCGUUAAAAACCUGAGUGAGGUGAAGGUGAGGUUAAAUUUUGUAAAGGUGGUAUAAUACGCGGUUGAAAAAUGGUGCGGAGAAGAUAAAAUAAUGUUGUGUCAGUGUGGAGGUCAAUGUUUAAAUGAGGAAAUAAAAGAGUAACCCAGAGAAUGUGUAAAAAAGUUAGGAAGUAGGUGUGAUAGUGAAGAGGUGUGAUGAAGUGUAGGGGAAUUGCUGAAAAAUAGUUUGAUGGUGAAUGGUUUGUAAACUAAUGUUGCCCCUGUACGUCCUGCCUACGAGAUUUGAGUUUGGACAGUUAGUGAUAUGGUGAUUUAGUAGUGUGUGUGACUUGAUGAAAUGAUAAUCCUUAGAGGUGAAUAUGUAUUGUCCC